UGGGGAAUCUUCCGCAAUGGACGAAAGUCUGACGGAGCAACGCCGCGUGUAUGACGAAGGCCUUCGGGUUGUAAAGUACUGUCUUUGGGACGAACGGUAUCUAUGUAAAUAAUGCAGAUACAUGACGGUACCCAAGGAGGAAGCCCCGGCUAACUACGUGCCAGCAGCCGCGGUAAUACGUAGGGGGCGAGCGUUGUCCGGAAUCAUUGGGCGUAAAGGGCGCGUAGGCGGGUCAUUAAGUCUGGUGUGAAAGGGCAGGGGCUCAACCCCUGGAAGGCACCGGAACUGUUAUCUUGAGGACAGGAGAGGAAAGCGGAAUUCCACGUGUAGCGGUGAAAUGCGUAGAUAUGUGGAGGAACACCAGUGGCGAAGGCGGCUUUCUGGACUGUAACUGACGCUGAGGCGCGAAAGCGUGGGGAGCAAAACAGGAUUAGAUACCCUGGUAGUCCACGCCGUAAACGAUGAGUGCUAGGUGUAGAGGGUAUCGACCCCCUUCUGUGCCGCAGUUAACACAAUAAGCACUCCGCCUGGGGAGUACGCCGCAAGGUUGAAACUCAAAUGAAUUGACGGGGUCAUAGCUGUUUCCUG
This 588-nucleotide ribosomal RNA is filed under the name uncultured bacterium. Its description in RNAcentral is "partial 16S ribosomal RNA". It matches the Rfam family "Bacterial small subunit ribosomal RNA", at positions 355 to 1376 of the family's 1533-position model. The record is from RNAcentral.